This 168-nucleotide non-coding RNA is filed under the name Kurthia massiliensis. The record is from RNAcentral. Lineage: Bacteria; Bacillati; Bacillota; Bacilli; Caryophanales; Caryophanaceae.
AAAUUUUAUGGUACAAGUUUUGCAUACUUGUUUAAAAGGGAAAUUGGUGCAAAUCCAAUGCUGUCCCGCAACUGUAAAGUGGAGUAUUUACAAAAAAUACCACUGUCUAAUAGAUGGGAAGGUUUGUAAAUAUGUUGAAGCGAAGCCAGGAGACCUGCCAUAAAAUAU